Molecule: small RNA, 279 nt
Filed under: Vigna angularis var. angularis
Lineage: Eukaryota; Viridiplantae; Streptophyta; Magnoliopsida; Fabales; Fabaceae
Description: Non-protein coding transcript
Source: RNAcentral
UAAGGGCUGAAAAUCUUAAGGAACCAACCAACCAUUGCUGGAGAAAGAGAUGAUGUUCCAGGUGAAGCUGAAGAAGUUUAGAACGAGGAGCGUGUUGGGAAAUUUACAUGGAAAUUUUAAAGUGUGAAAAUAAAUUGUUGUGAAGUAUUGUAUUUUAAGCAGACUUUUAAUUUGUUAUGGUUUGUAAUUUUAAAACAACUUUUAAUAUUCGGUUUGUAAUCCAAUAAUUACUCUCUAAUACUUUGAUGUAUUUUUUUGGUAAUAAUAUUAAAUGUUGUG